Impatiens glandulifera is the source of this 185-nucleotide long non-coding RNA. RefSeq lists it as uncharacterized. NCBI's taxonomy places the organism in Eukaryota, Viridiplantae, Streptophyta, Magnoliopsida, Ericales, Balsaminaceae. The transcript is spliced from 3 exons. The record is from RefSeq and is a predicted model, not a curated record.
ACAUGAUUGCUUUUCUAGGUGUCAACGGUGUAUUGCUCUCUUUGCUCAGGUGGAUGAGUAGAUCCAAUUUGUGUGUUGUAAGGAGGAUUCAUUUUCUAGGUGUCAACGGUGUAUUGCUCUCUUUGCUCAGGUGGAUGAAGUAGAUCCAAUUUGUGUGCUGUAAGGAGGAUUCAUUUUCUAGGGUU